AGGGCGCAUGGAGGAUGCCUAGGCUCUCGGAGGCGAAGAAGGACGUGAUAAGCUGCGAAAAGUUACGGUAAGGCGCAAAUAGCCCUAGACCCGUAAAUAUCCGAAUGGGGCAACCCGGCCAGCAAUGGUCAUACCGCCAAGCGGUAAGCCAACGCGGGGAACUGAAACAUCUAAGUACCCGCAGGAAAAGAAAAUAACAAUGAUUCCGCCAGUAGUGGCGAGCGAACGCGGAACAGCCCAAACCACUCGUGUUACGGCACGAGUGGGGUAGAAGGAUCCACGCCACGGCAAGAAAUAAGUUAGCAGAAUACGAUGGAAAUCGUAGCCAAAGACGGUGACAGCCCAGUACGCGAAAACCGACAGAAGCCCAGUGGACACCUGAGUAACCCAGGACACGAGAAAUCCGGGGCGAAUCAGCGGGGCCCAUCCCGUAAGGCUAAAUACUCCCGAGAGACCGAUAGCGAACCAGUACUGUGAAGGAAAGGUGAAAAGCACUUCGAACAGAAGAGUGAAAUAGUUCCUGAAACCAUGUGCCUACAAGCGGUCGGAGCACCUUCUGGUGUGACGGCGUGCCUUUUGCAUAAUGAACCUACGAGUUACUUUUUCCGGCGAGGUUAAGGAUUUCAGAUCUGCAGCCGAAGCGAAAGCGAGUCUGAACAGGGCGUAUAGUCGGAAGGAGUAGACGCGAAACCAAGUGAUCUACCCUUGGGCAGGUUGAAGGAUGGGUAACACCAUCUGGAGGACCGAACCAAUAAGCGUUGAAAAGCUUCUGGAUGACCUGAGGGUGGGGGUGAAAGGCUAAUCAAACUUGGAGAUAGCUCGUACUCCCCGAAAUGCAUUUAGGUGCAGCCUUGACCAUUACUAAUGUGAGGUAGAGCGACUGAUAAGAUGCGAGGGCUUCACCGCCUAUCAAGUCUUGACAAACUCCGAAUGCGCAUCAGUUUUACCUCAGGAGUGAGGGCAUGGGUGCUAAGGUCCGUGCCCGAGAGGAGAAGAAUCCGGACCACCUGCUAAGGUCCCGAAAUAACAGCUAAGUUAAACUAACGAAGUCAGAUUGCUAAGACAGCUAGGAUGUUGGCUUGGAAGCAGCCAUUCAUUUAAAGAGUGCGUAACAGCUCACUAGUCGAGGAGUUUGGCGUGGAUAAUAAUCGGGCAUAAGUAUUCUACCGAAGCUUUGGGAUGAGAAAUCAUCGGUAGGGGAGCAUUCCACUCGGCGUCGAAGGUGAAGCGCGAGCUUUGCUGGAGCGUGUGGAAAAGCAAAUGUAGGUAUAAGUAACGAUAAAGGGGGUGGGAAACCCCCUCGCCGAAAGACUAAGGUUUCCUGAUCAACGCUAAUCGGAUCAGGGUAAGUCGGGUCCUAAGGCUCAGCCGAACGGCGAGGCCGAUGGCAGAACCGGUUAAUAUUCCGGUACUACCUGUGGGAGUGACGUGGAGACGGAGUCGUGACAGCGCCGCGGACUGACGGAAUAGUCCGUUGAAGGGUGUAGAUGCUGAUUGUUCCAGGCAAAUCCGGAGCAAGAGUCGAACCUGAUAGUAUGGAGCGUUCUUAGAACAAUCCAAUAGUGCGUGUAAUCAUACUUCCAAGAAAAUCCGCUAAACUUAAUCCUGCAGGUACCCGUACCGCAAACGGACACACGUAGUCGGGUUGAAUAUACUAAGGCGCUUGAGUGAUUCACGGUUAAGGAACUAGGCAAACUGACCCUGUAACUUCGGGAUAAAGGGUCCUCGCUUAACGGCGAGGCGCAGAGAAUAGGUCCAGGCAACUGUUUAACAAAAACACAGGGCUGUGCAAAAUUUCAAGAUGAAGUAUACAGCCUGACACCUGCCCGGUGCCGGAAGGUUAAGAGGAGAGCUAAUCGCAAGAGAAGGCUUGAAUUGAAGCCCCGGUAAACGGCGGCCGUAACUAUAACGGUCCUAAGGUAGCGAAAUUCCUUGUCGGGUAAGUUCCGACCUGCACGAAUGGUGUAAUGAUCUGGACACUGUCUCAACCGUGAGCUCGGUGAAAUUGUAGUAUCGGUGAAGAUGCCGAUUACCCGCAACGGGACGAAAAGACCCCGUGAACCUUUACUGCAACUUAGCAUUGCGUUUGGGCAUUUGAUGUGUAGGAUAGUCCGGAGGCUACGAGUCGGCGACGCCAGUCGUCGAGGAGCCGCUGUUGAAAUACGGACCUUCGAAUGUUUGAGCGCUAACUCGCAGGAGCGAGGACACUGUUUGGUGGGUAGUUUGACUGGGGUGGUCGCCUCCAAAAGCGUAACGGAGGCUU
Molecule: ribosomal RNA, 2263 nt
Filed under: human gut metagenome
Description: bacterial LSU rRNA
Rfam family: Bacterial large subunit ribosomal RNA
Source: RNAcentral